RNAcentral lists this ribosomal RNA (329 nucleotides) under uncultured eukaryote. RNAcentral's name for it is "partial 18S ribosomal RNA". It matches the Rfam family "Eukaryotic small subunit ribosomal RNA", at positions 1470 to 1796 of the family's 1831-position model. The record is from RNAcentral.
CCCUUAGAUGUUCUGGGCCGCACGCGCGCUACACUGAUGCAUUCAGCGAGUCUAAAACCUGCUCUGAUAGGGGUGGGUAAUCUUUUGAAUGUGCAUCGUGAUUGGGAUAGAUGAUUGCAAUUUUUCAUCUUCAACGAGGAAUGCCUAGUAAACGCAAGUCAUCAGCUUGCAUUGAUUACGUCCCUGCCCUUUGUACACACCGCCCGUCGCUCCUACCGACUGAAUGAUCCGAUGAAUAUCAUGGAUUGAGGAUGCAAGCAGGUUCGCCUGUCUUCAUCUUCGAGAAGUGAAGUAAAUCUUAUCAUUUAGAGGAAGGAGAAGUCGUAACA